This 468-nucleotide ribosomal RNA is filed under the name uncultured bacterium. Its description in RNAcentral is "partial 16S ribosomal RNA". It matches the Rfam family "Bacterial small subunit ribosomal RNA", at positions 28 to 507 of the family's 1533-position model. The record is from RNAcentral.
GACGAACGCUGGCGGCGUGCUUAACACAUGCAAGUCGAACGGAAAGGCCCUGCUGUUGUGGGGUGCUCGAGUGGCGAACGGGUGAGUAACACGUGAGUAACCUGUCCUUGACUUUGGGAUAACGUCAGGAAACUGGGGCUAAUACCGGAUAGGAGCUCCUGCUGCAUGGUGGGGGUUGGAAAGUUUCGGCGGUUGGGGAUGGACUCGCGGCUUAUCAGCUUGAUGGUGGGGUAGUGGCUUACCAAGGCUUUGACGGGUAGCCGGCCUGAGAGGGUGACCGGCCACAUUGGGACUGAGAUACGGCCCAGACUCCUACGGGAGGCAGCAGUGGGGAAUAUUGCACAAUGGGCGGAAGCCUGAUGCAGCAACGCCGCGUGCGGGAUGACGGCCUUCGGGUUGUAAACCGCUUUCGCCUGUGACGAAGCGUGAGUGACGGUAAUGGGUAAAGAAGCACCGGCUAACUACGUG